Molecule: ribosomal RNA, 465 nt
Filed under: Vreelandella stevensii
Lineage: Bacteria; Pseudomonadati; Pseudomonadota; Gammaproteobacteria; Oceanospirillales; Halomonadaceae
Description: partial 16S ribosomal RNA
Rfam family: Bacterial small subunit ribosomal RNA
Source: RNAcentral
CCUACGGGUGGCAGCAGUGGGGAAUAUUGGACAAUGGGCGAAAGCCUGAUCCAGCCAUGCCGCGUGUGUGAAGAAGGCCUUCGGGUUGUAAGGCACUUUCAGUGGGGAAGAAAGCCUUGGGGCUAAUACCCUCGAGGAAGGACAUCACCCACAGAAGAAGCACCGGCUAACUCCGUGCCAGCAGCCGCGGUAAUACGGAGGGUGCGAGCGUUAAUCGGAAUUACUGGGCGUAAAGCGCGCGUAGGCGGUCUGAUAAGCCGGUUGUGAAAGCCCCGGGCUCAACCUGGGAACGGCAUCCGGAACUGUCAGGCUAGAGUGCAGGAGAGGAAGGUAGAAUUCCCGGUGUAGCGGUGAAAUGCGUAGAGAUCGGGAGGAAUACCAGUGGCGAAGGCGGCCUUCUGGACUGACACUGACGCUGAGGUGCGAAAGCGUGGGUAGCAAACAGGAUUAGAUACCCCAGUAGUC